RNAcentral lists this transfer RNA (77 nucleotides) under Rhodospirillaceae bacterium. RNAcentral's name for it is "tRNA-Asp". It matches the Rfam family "tRNA". From Rfam's summary of the family: Transfer RNA (tRNA) molecules are approximately 80 nucleotides in length. RNAcentral also lists the same sequence under 1 other name. The record is from RNAcentral. Lineage: Bacteria; Pseudomonadati; Pseudomonadota; Alphaproteobacteria; Rhodospirillales; Rhodospirillaceae.
GGGGGUGUAGCUCAGCUGGUUAGAGUGCCGGCCUGUCACGCCGGAGGCCGCGGGUUCGAGUCCCGUCACUCCCGCCA